ACAGCACUUAAGAUUUUGCUUAUCUGUGUUAGUUUUUUUACUCUGCCCAACUUGCAACAUGCUACUUUCCUUUAAUGUAUUUAUAUUUAUUAGCUAAAGAUAGCUUGUUUUGUUUUUAUAUUUUGGAAAGUUCUCCUACACACUUGCAGAACAAAUAUGAAAUAUGAAUAAUUACAGAAUAGACAGAUGACUCAUUUGUGUCUUCCUGGUAAAGUACAGAGUAGUGUAACCCUGAGGAUGAAUAGAACUUCAUAGUUGUUUUGAUGUGGGUCACUCAGCAGACACCAAAGACUUUCAACAAGCUCACUACACAACCAAGACUAGCUUUAGGUGCUAAGAGACAUGUCAGAGAACAGCACUUGUUACAUGAUGUCAAGGAAUUUGGUGUAAUGUUAAUGCAUCUAGAAGCAGCCUGUUUAUAAACCCACCUGUCCAAAGGCAUUUUGUUUUGUUUUGUUUGGAUUUCAAUAAGAAAAAAAAAAUGGAACAAUGCAGUUGUAAUGUAACCAAAGUAUGAAUUUUUGCAUUUUCUUAUUAACAGCAGUUUGCUUUUAAAAAGUUUAAACGUGAUUCCCUGUUCAUGGCUUUGCUGCAAAAAGCUGGCCUGGGACUCAAAGAGUUACAGAUCUCUUGCAGCAGUCCGCUGCAGUGAGUUUGACAUCAGCAGAGUGCAUUUUCAGUAUCCAAUCAGCGGCGCUGAAUCGGCUUCGCUUUUAGCCAAUCAGGAGAGGGGGUGGGCUCUAACAAGGUUUGAACUAAGACGCUAUCUUUCGGCGCCAUUUUUCUGAGUGAGCAGCUAUAGCUUCAACAGCUGCGGGGAGAGGAUGCUUCUGCUGCGAAUAUAGAGAGCUGUCGCUGAGACGGCGAGGGGGGGUGAGAUGAAGCCAAGUGGUUAAAGCCCAAACUGCGUUUUUUAGAGAAGAAAAUCCUUCAUCUCAGCGGGAACACAGACGGAGAUCCAUCUUUCCUGUUAAGGAUGUAGAAAGACGUCAUGGAAGAUGAUCGUCUCUACCUUCUUAGAUGAAUGCGGAUUUAAAGCUUGGACAAGGCAAGUGCAAAAUGCAGAAAAUGAGCAGGAGAGCAUCACGCCCAACUCUGGUAAUGUUGUAGCAGCACAGAAUGGUUUGUGGUUACUCUGAGAUGCAGGCCAUACUGCGCUGCCGCAAUAAAGCCAGACUAGUUCAGCAUGCAGUGAUCAGCUUCAAGUCCCUCCAGAUGUCUUUGACGACCAUCGGCUGCCUGAGUUUAUAUUAUCCGGAUAAUUGUUUUCCUAAUGAGAGUGAUGAAAUGUUUCCAGGGUAUUUGUCAUUCUGAUUUACUGGUUGCUUUACUGUAGCAGCAUGUAAAUAUUGGAGUUGAGACUAAAUGAAGUCUCCAGUAUUGAUCGUGCUGCUGAAGCAAAGCUGACCACUCACACUCAGUCCAACAAGCCACUAGCUGAAUGUUCCCUCACACCUUCUAGGUGAUAACAAGUAGACAGUAAGGAUUAUGUCGAGUGUAAUUUGAUUUUUUUGUAUAUUUUUUAAUAAAUAAAACCUCUACCUGA
Long non-coding RNA from Cyprinodon tularosa, 1546 nucleotides. RefSeq lists it as uncharacterized. Lineage: Eukaryota; Metazoa; Chordata; Actinopteri; Cyprinodontiformes; Cyprinodontidae. The transcript is spliced from 2 exons. The record is from RefSeq and is a predicted model, not a curated record.